This 726-nucleotide long non-coding RNA is filed under the name Mytilus galloprovincialis (Mediterranean mussel). The record is from RNAcentral. Lineage: Eukaryota; Metazoa; Mollusca; Bivalvia; Mytilida; Mytilidae.
AGCAAAUUUACAGAUCUAACAUUGUUGGGUUGAUGUUUAGACGAGUUGUAUAUACAUUAUGUACACAGCCAUGUAUCACCAUCAUUGAUGGCGAUCCGAUGGAUACAUCUGUUGUAGGGUUGUCACUGACUCAGACGUACUUAUGAAUAUAAUUAUUUUCUGUGACUGUAUCUUACAUUAAUUUGUAGGAUCCUUUACUAUAGAUAAUUUAGCUGAUCUGUAACAAUAACAUCUUCAUGCCUUAUAUAUCAUGUACUGUAGUACGCCGCUAGAUUAAAACUGACGUGGAAAGGUAACACAUGGCCAGCGAAAGCUCUUUUAUUGAGAGCCCAGGUGGUCGUGAGGUCUAGCGGGACGACUGCAGUGCAGGCGAUUUGGUGUCACGAUAUCACAGUAGCAUGGGUUCGAAUCCCGGCGAGGGAAGAACCAAACAUUUGCGAAAGCAAAUUUACAGAUCUAACAUUGUUGGGUUGAUGUUUAGACGAGUUGUAUAUAUGUUCCGGACCAUAUGAGUAUUUGGACCAUACGCGUAUGGUCAUGACCAUAUGGGUAUAUACUCAUAUGGUCCGACCAUACGCGUAUGGUCCGACCGUACGCGUAUGGUCGGGGUAAUUGACACUCUGUAACAGUUUACUUUUAAUACUUUUAAACUCUUCAUAUGGUAUGACCGUUCAUUAAAAAGACGCUAUCAUAUAGGUAAUUUUAUUUUUAUAUUAUAAUGAAAAG